Molecule: long non-coding RNA, 3668 nt
Organism: Brassica rapa (field mustard)
Lineage: Eukaryota; Viridiplantae; Streptophyta; Magnoliopsida; Brassicales; Brassicaceae
Source: RefSeq, a predicted model, not a curated record
CCGCACUUUGAAAUUGCGGGUCAAAAUCUAGUAUUCUAUUAAAAGGGAAACAAUCUUGAAAAAUCUACUUAUAAAGGUUGUUGGACCUCUUCAUUAAUAAUAUGUUUUAUUUAAUGUUUGCCUUAAUCAAUCAAAAUAUAUACUCCUAUUUAUAAGGAACAUUAUAUUUGUCCAAAAAGAAACAUUACGUUAAUUAUUUUUAUUAAUCAUUAUUAACCAAUUUAAAAGAAACACUACAACCAAUCAAUAAUUAAUCUGAUACUAAAUGGCAUCUCACGAAACUAAUCGAUUUUUAUUAUAAUAUAUACACUAUAUAUGAAUUAUAUUAUUUCUUAGAGUUCAAUGAAAGAAGUACUAUCACGAUGCACAUAGUGUAUUAUAUGUUUGAGAAACAUAACUAUAUAUACUUUUUACUACAACAUAAUUAUUUAUGCUUUUACCUUGCUUUUGUUUUUUAAUAUGAUAUAUAAAUAAAACAAUUAUUAUGCUACUACGAUAUUUGCAAAGAUUAAUUAUUUAUUUGCCUAAAUAAAACAUAAUUACUUUUUUUUUAACUUUAGAACUAUUUCUUUUCAAAGAUUACUAUAGCUAGAAUAGAUAUUUGCAUAACGUGAAUAAACCAAUUCCAAUAUUUGUUUUGGACACAAAACUAAUUUCAAUAUAUUCACUAUUGUGAGUAUAUAUAAUAUUAUGAUGGGAUGAUACUUUUACUAAUUUCCUAUGUAUAAAUUAUUUAUGCUAAAAGAAUCAUGUUAUAUAGUACGAUAUGAAUAUAUUUUUAAAACAAUAAAAUAAUUAAUUUAAUUUUUAAAAAAUAGUUUUUUUACAGGUUUUAAAUUAUAUAUAUUUUUAAAAACCAUACCCGAUUACAUAUUAGAUUACUUGAUUUAUCAGUUAGACUUCUGGUAAUCAUUUUAAAUAUAUAGUAAUAGAAGAUUAAAAAAUAUUUAUUAUAAAAUAUUAUUAUUUAAUAUAAGUUUAAAAACUAUAUUAAAAACAGUAUAAAUCUAUAAUAUUAAAUUAGCUAAAAUAUGUAAAUUAAACUCAAGUCUUACCAAUUUAACAAAUGUAACUAUUAUAAAAUGCACACAAAAUAUAAUGAGAAAUAGAAUAAGCAUGGCCAUCGAAUUUUCGGUUGGUACAGAUCGGUUCAUUUCGAGUUUGAGUCCUUCAGAUCUUAGACAUUUGUACCUAAUUAGGUAUUUGAUUUUUUUUGUUUGAGUUUAAAUUGUUCCUUUUAUGUUUGUAUCCAUAAUUCAAAUACCUGUAAAAUACCUGUAUUUUUAAUAUAUAACAGGUCCGGAUCAGUUCGAAUAUUUAAUACUCAAAAAAGAUUUGAAAUACCCAAAAAUCCAAAAAAUAUGCGAAAAAACCCAAAAAGUACCUGAUACAAAAACGUACCCGAAAACUCAAACAAAUACCCAAAAAUAUGUCAUAUCAUACAACUUUGUAAUAUAAUAAUUUACAACAAUUACAAAAUACUAUUUCCUAUCAAAAUUUAUUUAUAAUCCAAAAUAAUCCGCGCUUUCAAAGCGCGGGUCAAAAUCUAGUUGGUAUAUUAUGAAUGAAUCAUUAUUUUCGUGAUUUUUUGUUGAUAUUUUAUAUUUUUACGGUUAAAUAUUUUGAGGUUAUGAUAUCCAACCUAAAUUUCAUUUGGAUUAACUAAAUUUCAUGAUCGAUUUUUGAGAUGAUUUUAACCGGAUAUGUUCUAAUUUAAAUUGACUGUGUAUUUCUUUCAUAUGUUUUUUAAAAGGUUAUCUACUUUGUUUCUGUCUUUUUAAUACCGUUCUUUAUUUUUUAUGAAAAUAGUAAAAUAGAUACAUGUAAUAAGUAGUGAAUUUGUAGAUUUACAGAAUGUAGUAUGUUUUAAGAAUUUAAUUGGCUGAUGUCUAUAAAUUUUCAUGAAAAUUAUCAAUGUUCAUAUUCAUUUUAGUUUUUGGUAAAUAGCUUUUCUAAAAGUUAGAAGCCAUGAAAAUUUUCAUUUUAGAUUUUGGUAAAUAGCUUUUCUAAAUUUUCAUAAAAAUUUUGUCAGUUGGAAUCAAUACAAUACUAAAAGUUGGUGAGUUGGAGUUUUGAGAGUGUCCACAUCAUCCAAAAAUUCUCAACCAAUCAAAUUGACAACUCAUUUAUAUGCAAGCCAUGCCAUUUAAAAAGUAUAUACAUUCUUCUGUAUUUGUGUUUAUUUGCUAUAUUAAUAUGAAAGUUCCGUAAUUGUUGAACUCAUCUUCCAUCCUAAUCGUUCUAUCUUCCCAAAAAGUCUGCCGAUCAAGAUUCUUUAGGACUUAGUGGUAUUGUCUCCUCAAGCUUUAAACCAGCUUAUCAUGGUACCAUUAAACCAUAAGAUUAUAUUUCUUCCUCCAAUCUCAACUGCAGUCUCCUGCUAUGACGCCACUUUGCAUUCUCCGAUCAGAUUAUGAAUACGACGGAUCCACUUUUAAUCGCUAACGCCACUCAAGAGUUAUAUUUUUUUGCAGAUUCAACACAAUGGCAAUAUCAAAGCUUCAUGAAAGGAAAUUAAAGGCAAAUGAUCUCAAAUACAGACAAAGGUAAGAACCAAUAACAAUCUCUUUUUGAAACACCAGAAUUCCACUAAGGAUCAACUGGACUAACUUAUGAUAACAUAAUACAAUACUAAAAGUUGGUGAGUUGGAGUUUUGAGAGUGUCCACAUCAUCCAAAAAUUCUCAACCAAUCAAAUUGACAACUCAUUUAUAUGCAAGCCAUGCCAUUUAAAAAGUAUAUACAUUCUUCUGUAUUUGUGUUUAUUUGCUACAUUAAUAUGAAAGUUCCGUAAUUGUUGAACUCAUCUUCCAUCCUAAUCGUUCUAUCUUCCCAAAAAGUCUGCCGAUCAAGAUUCUUUAGGACUUAGUGGUAUUGUCUCCUCAAGCUUUAAACCAGCUUAUCAUGGUACCAUUAAACCAUAAGAUUAUCUUUCUUCCUCCAAUCUCAACUGCAGUCUCCUGCUAUGACGCCACUUUGCAUUCUCCGAUCAGAUUAUGAAUACGACGGAUCCACUUUUAAUCGCUAACGCCACUCAAGAGUUAUAUUUUUUUGCAGAUUCAACACAAUGGCAAUAUCAAAGCUUCAUGAAAGGAAAUUAAAGGCAAAUGAUCUCAAAUACAGACAAAGUUGGUCGACAUGUUAAUCCUUGGGUUUAAGGUUUUGAUCCAGUCGUAUCAGUGUGGGAUUAGUUUUUUACACACGAAGAUACAAUAAAGCUAAUCGGGAGUCAUAUCAGUGUAGCUUCUGAUACGUAUCUCCUGCUCUUUAAUUUCUCGAUCACGUUGAAUAGGUUGAUUAGGAAAGGGAUCCCGCCGGUAUUAAGGGAAAAGGUUUGCCUUUCUCUUUCUGAUGCUGCCAAGAAAAGUCCACCGCCCUAGAUAAUUAUUACAGUGAUUUGAGCAGGCCGAGACGGAAAGGCUACAUUGACAACACAGCAGAUCGAUCGUGUGAGUCUGAUCUUUUCCGGAGUCUCAAUUUUUUUUUGUUCUUCAGGGAAAUUGAUGUAUUUUAUAUUCAGUUAAUUUUCCAGGAUAUAUUGGUAUUGUUUUAAUUGGUUAUAAGCUCUGUUUCAUAUUGUAAUUUGAUGUAGUCUCAAAAGCAUUGAAAAAAGAAGAUGCUAUCGAUGCUGUUAUGGUUGGAAAUUUAGAAUAUUGUUUCUUUUCUUUA